GUGUCAGCAGCCGCGGUAAUACGUAGGUGGCAAGCGUUGUCCGGAUUUAUUGGGCGUAAAGCGAACGCAGGCGGGAGAAUAAGUCAGCUGUGAAAGCCCUCAGCUUAACUGGGGAACUGCAGCUGAAACUAUUUUUCUUGAGUGCAGAAGAGGAGAGUGGAACUCCAUGUGUAGCGGUGGAAUGCGUAGAUAUAUGGAAGAACACCAGUGGCGAAGGCGGCCUUCUGGACAGAUACUGACGCUGAGAUGCGAAAGCGUGGGGAGCAAACAGGAUUAGAUACCCUGGUAGUCCACGCUGUAAACGAUGUCGAUUUGGAGUUUGUUGCCUAGAGUGAUGGGCUCCGAAGCUAACGCGAUAAAUCGACCGCCUGGGGAGUACGGCCGCAAGGUUAAAACUCAAAUAAAUUGACGG
This 412-nucleotide ribosomal RNA is filed under the name uncultured bacterium. RNAcentral describes it as "bacterial SSU rRNA". It matches the Rfam family "Bacterial small subunit ribosomal RNA", at positions 505 to 916 of the family's 1533-position model. The record is from RNAcentral.